Molecule: ribosomal RNA, 242 nt
Filed under: uncultured bacterium
Lineage: Bacteria
Description: partial 16S ribosomal RNA
Rfam family: Bacterial small subunit ribosomal RNA
Source: RNAcentral
CACGCCGUAAACGAUGAUUACUCGAUGUUGGCGAUACACAGUCAGCGUCUGAGCGAAAGCAUUAAGUAAUCCACCUGGGGAGUACGAUCGCAAGAUUGAAACUCAAAGGAAUUGACGGGGGCCCGCACAAGCGGAGGAGCAUGUGGUUUAAUUCGAUGAUACGCGAGGAACCUUACCUAGGCUUAAAUGUAGAAUGACCGUCCGUGAAAGCGGACUUUUCUUCGGAACAUUUUACAAGGUGC